GCCGGAGUGGCGGAAUGGGUAGACGCAAGGGACUUAAAAUCCCUCGGGCAUUAUGCUCGUACCGGUUCAAGUCCGGUCUCCGGUACCA
Molecule: transfer RNA, 88 nt
Filed under: Magnetobacterium casense (SeqCode)
Lineage: Bacteria; Pseudomonadati; Nitrospirota; Thermodesulfovibrionia; Thermodesulfovibrionales; Magnetobacteriaceae (SeqCode)
Also listed under: 2 other names
Description: tRNA-Leu
Rfam family: tRNA
About the family: Transfer RNA (tRNA) molecules are approximately 80 nucleotides in length. Their secondary structure includes four short double-helical elements and three loops (D, anti-codon, and T loops).
Source: RNAcentral